This 56-nucleotide microRNA precursor is filed under the name Homo sapiens (human). RNAcentral describes it as "microRNA hsa-mir-4530 precursor". The record is from miRBase by way of RNAcentral. Lineage: Eukaryota; Metazoa; Chordata; Mammalia; Primates; Hominidae.
CGACCGCACCCGCCCGAAGCUGGGUCAAGGAGCCCAGCAGGACGGGAGCGCGGCGC